CGCCAGCCCGCUCAGAAACUUAAAGGAAUUGACGGGGGCCCGCACAAGCGGUGGAGCAUGUGGUUUAAUUCGAUGAUACGCGAGGAACCUUACCUGGGCUCAAAUGUAUGUUGACGUAUUCUGAAAGGGAUACUUCUUCGGACAAUAUACAAGGUGCUGCAUGGUUGUCGUCAGCUCGUGCCGUGAGGUGUCGGGUUAAGUCCCAUAACGAGCGCAACCCCUAUCAUUAGUUGCCAUCAGGUCAAGCUGGGGACUCUAAUGAAACUGCCUACGCAAGUAGUGAGGAAGGUGGGGAUGACGUCAAAUCAUCAUGCCCCUUAUGAUCUGGGCUACACACGUGCUACAAUGGCCGGUACAACGGGCAGCGAAGGAGCGAUCCGGAGCGAAUCCUAAAAAGCCGGUCCCAGUUCGGAUUGCAGGCUGAAACUCGCCUACAUGAAGUUGGAGUUGCUAGUAAUCGCGAAUCAGAAUGUCGCGGUGAAUGCGUUCCCGGGUCUU
Molecule: ribosomal RNA, 498 nt
Filed under: uncultured Sphingobacteriales bacterium
Lineage: Bacteria; Pseudomonadati; Bacteroidota; Sphingobacteriia; Sphingobacteriales
Description: bacterial SSU rRNA
Rfam family: Bacterial small subunit ribosomal RNA
Source: RNAcentral